UACAUGCAAGUCGACUGCAUUUAGUUGCAGGGCAGACGGGUGAGUAACACGUUGGUUAUCUGCCCCGAACUCAGGGAUAACAUCGAGAAAUCGGUGAUAAUACCGGAUAGUCCCGCAAGGGUAAAGAUUUUUCGGUUCGGAAGGAGCCUGCGUAGUAUCAGCUUGUUGGUGAGGUAAUGGCUCACCAAGGCUAUGACGCUUAGCUGGUCUGAGAGGAUGAUCAGUCACAAUGGAACUGAGACACGGUCCAUACUCCUACGGGAGGCAGCAGUAAAGAAUCUUCCGCAAUGGGCGUAAGCCUGACGGAGCAACACUGCGUGGUGGAUGAAGGCCUUCGGGUCGUAAACACCUUUUCUGGGGGAAGAAGUUCUGACGGUACCCCAGGAAUAAGCGACGGCUAAUUACGUGCCAGCAGCCGCGGUAAUACGUAAGUCGCAAGCGUUAUCCGGAAUUAUUGGGCGUAAAGCGUCCGUAGGCGGUUUGUUAAGUCUGUGGUUAAAGCCCGGGGCUCAACCCCGGAAUCGUCAUGGAAACUAACAAACUUGAGGUGUGCAGGGGCAGAUGGAAUUCCAGAAGUAGGGGUAAAAUCCGUAGAUCUCUGGAGGAACACCAAACGCGAAGGCAUUCUGCUGGGCACUACCUGACGCUGAGGGACGAAAGCGUGGGGAGCAAACGGGAUUAGAUACCCCGGUAGUCCACGCCGUAAACGAUGGAUACUCGGUAUUGGAGGCUUCGACCCCUUCGGUGCCUAAGCUAACGCAUUAAGUAUCCCGCCUGGGUAGUAC
This 785-nucleotide ribosomal RNA is filed under the name uncultured marine bacterium. Its description in RNAcentral is "bacterial SSU rRNA". It matches the Rfam family "Bacterial small subunit ribosomal RNA", at positions 52 to 883 of the family's 1533-position model. The record is from RNAcentral.